AAGCACAGCCAUGGCUAGAGAAUGAUAAUGAGUGAAUUGUUAGCAGGCUAAUAAUGAUUAGCCAGAAUGAUGGGGACGCUUCUCUGCAGAUAUUUGAGCUGAGACUGAGGUGAUGAAAAGGAACCGGACAUACAGACAUCUGGGAGAAAGUUGUUUCAGGAAGAGACAACAGAAGGUGCAAAGUUCCAGACUUUUGAGUGAGGUUGGCAUGCUUCAGGAACCAAAAGAGGUCCACCUACGUGUCUGACCUACGGCAAGGGAAGUGGAUAUCUCAGGAGAGCACGGGUUCUAGGCGUGCGGGCUUCAGGAGUUGUGGCGCAUGGGCCUACGUGCUCCGAGGUUCUAGGGCUUGUACAUCUGCAGGCAGUGCCAUGUGUGUGGAGUGCCAGAGAGGAACACAGCAGGUGAAAGUAGACAAGGCAAACCUCUUCCUCUUUGGCAAUUUCUGACUGCAUGCUCCAAGGGACUUGCUGCAGGAUAGCAAAGGCUGGUUGGGACACGCUAUGUGAGACGUUAUCAGUCUCCCAAGAGCAAAGCAGUGAGUGGCAAGCAAGAAGGAGAGCGUGAGAGAGAGGUCAAGUCUGACCUGCCAGAGGGUGAAUACUGGUUGCAGCAGUGAUGCCAGGAGACUGUUUUGGGUGGGACUUGAGGUGAGGAACACAAGUCUGGGACUCCACCAUACACUGAAGCCCUGGAAGGAGAGCAAGGAGCGUACAGGGGGUGGGGCAAAGUCACCAACAUGGUCCCAAACUGGCGGCACCCCCUCGUUACUGUUAAAAGCAAAAGCAAAUCUUCUCUGCAAGAAAAAUUCUCCAGUCUCCAUGUUAAGCCUGCAGAUGUUCCAUCUAUUAUAACAAACAGCGAGCUCACAAAGAUCAACUAGAAAGAGAAGGCAUGUGGGAUCUCAACUCCCCAACCAGAGACUGAGUCCACCACACCCCCUGCAUUGGAAGGUGAAGUCAACCACUGGACCACUGGGAUCCAGCUUUGCCCAGGGAUCAAACCCAAGCCGCCUCCAUUGGGAAGUGGGAGCCUUAGCCGCUGGACCACCGGGGACAUCCCUCUCACUGUCAUUUUGAUUCAAUUUCCCUGCUGCUGCUGCUGCUGCUAAGUCGCUUCAGUCGCGUCUGACUCUGUGCGACCCCAGAGACGGCAGCCCACCAGGUUCCCCCGUCCCUGGGAUUCUCCAGGCAAGAACACUGGAGGGGGUUGCCAUUUCCUUCUCCAAUGCAUGAAAGUGAAAAGUGAAAGUGAAGUCGCUCAGUCGUGUCCGACUCCUAGCGACCCCAUGGACUGCAGCCUACCAGGCUCCUCCAUCCAUGGGAUUUGCCAGGCAAGAGUACUGGAGUGGGGUGCCAUUGCCCUCUCCCUAAUGACUAGCAAUUUGGCACAGUUUUUCAUGUGUAUAUUUGUCAGAUACAUAUCUUCUUUGAUGUCAUGUCUGUUCAAAUCUUUAGCUCAUUUUUCUACUGGGUUGUUUGUUUUUUAUUAUUGAGUUUUAAGAUACUACUGUUGACUGAAUUGUGUCCCCACAAAUUCAUACGUUGAAGCACUAACCCCCUAUCCCACUACUUCAUGUAUUUGGAAACAGAAGUUUUAGAGGUUAAUUAAGAUUAAUGAGGUCAUAAGGUUGGAGUCUAAGAAUUGGUGGCCUUACAGGAAGGUAGUGCCUGGGCCCUGAGGACAGGCUUUGUGAGGACACGGGAAACAGGCUGAUGCUACGGGCCAGAAAUAGAGUCCUCACCAGCGCUCAGCCCUGCUGGCACUCUGAUCUCAGAUUUCUAGACUCCAGAACUGAGAGAAAAUAAAUUUCUGCUGGUUAAGCCACCCAGUCAAUGGAAUUUUUGUUAUGAAUCCUGAGCACACGAGAUGGAUUACAUAUAUCUGAUACGUAUGGAUAUGUAGACAUACACCCACAUGUAUGUAACAUAUGCAUUUUUCUUAUUACAAGCCCUUAUGAGAUAUAUGCUUUGCAAAUACUUUCUCACAGUCUCAGGCUUUUCCUUCCAUUUUAAAAACUGUUUAUAGAAGAACAGAUGUUUUUAGUUUUGAUAAAGUUCAAUUUAUUAAUUCUUUCCUUUUGGAAACAUGCUUUGUGUGUCAAAUAUAAGAAAACAUCGCCUAACUCAAGGUCCCAAAGAUUUUCUCCUGUGUUUUCCCUUAGGAAUUUUAUAGGUUUAUGUUUUAGGUUUCAGUCUGUAAUUAAUUUUGAGUUAAUUUGUGUUUCAUGCAAAGUAUGAAGCAAAGUACAGUGGGGGUUUUCUUCAUGUAGAAAUACAGUCACUACAUAUUGUAGCUUUAUAAUAAAUUUUGAAGUCAUGUAGUGUUAGUCUUCCAACUGUAUUCUUCUUUUUUCAAAGUUGUUUUGGCUACUGUAGGUCUGCAUUUCUAAAUAAAUUUUGGGAUCACUGUGAUUUUCUUUUUUAAAAUAUUUAUUUUGCUGCACAGGGUCUUAGUUGCAGACUAUGGGAUCUUAGUUCCCUGACCAGGGACUGAACUCGGGCCCCUUGCAUUUGGAGCAUGGAGUCUUAACCACUGGACACCCAGGGAAAUUCCUCAAUUAAAAAAAUAUAUAUAUCUGCUGGGAUUUUGAUUGAGAUUUCAUUGAAUAUAUACACCACUUGGGGGGAAUUAACAUUUUAGCAAUGGUGGGUGUUUCUGAUCUUUGAACACAGUGCAUGCGUGCUAGGUCACUUCAGUUGUGUCCACCUCUUCAGGACACUAUGGACUGUAGCAUGCCAGGCUCCUCUGUCCAUGGGAUUAUCCAGGCAAGAAUACUGGAGUGGAUUGCCGUGCCCUCCUCCAGUGGAUCUUCUCCACCCAGGGAUCAAACCUGUACCUCCUGCAUUGCAGGUACAUUCUUUACCCCUGAGCCACCAGGAAAGCCCCUUGAACACAGUAUGUCUCUCUAUUCACUUAGGCAUUUUUGCCAGAUUUAUCCCUAUGUAUUUCAUUUUUUGAAUGUCAUGUAAAUGAUUUUAAAA
Long non-coding RNA from Bos taurus (domestic cattle), 2984 nucleotides. The record is from Ensembl. NCBI's taxonomy places the organism in Eukaryota, Metazoa, Chordata, Mammalia, Artiodactyla, Bovidae.